CCCAUGGAGAUUGGAGUUAUUAGAGGACCCCUUACCGCAGAUGAAAGAAUGAGACGUAAAACCAACCAUCUCUGUAUGUAUUGUGGCAAUUCCAACCAUAUGGUCACAGAUUGCCCCAUCUUACGCAAGAACAAAAAGAUGGGACCUUAGAAGACUCACAACCAAUGCCAUAGUGGACUCCGGAGCUUUUGGCAAUUUCAUAGAUAUCAGCACUGUUCAAAAAAAUAAAAUACCUACCGUAUUAAAAAAAA
Molecule: long non-coding RNA, 251 nt
Organism: Bombina bombina (fire-bellied toad)
Lineage: Eukaryota; Metazoa; Chordata; Amphibia; Anura; Bombinatoridae
Exons: 2
Source: RefSeq, a predicted model, not a curated record